UUGAACGCUGGCGGCAUGCCUUACACAUGCAAGUCGAACGGCAGCACGGGAGCAAUCCUGGUGGCGAGUGGCGAACGGGUGAGUAAUGUAUCGGAACGUACCUUUCAGUGGGGGAUAACGUAGCGAAAGUUACGCUAAUACCGCAUAUUCUGUGAGCAGGAAAGCAGGGGAUCGCAAGACCUUGCGCUGAUUGAGCGGCCGAUAUCAGAUUAGCUAGUUGGUGAGGUAAAGGCUCACCAAGGCGACGAUCUGUAGCGGGUCUGAGAGGAUGAUCCGCCACACUGGAACUGAGACACGGUCCAGACUCCUACGGGAGGCAGCAGUGGGGAAUUUUGGACAAUGGGGGCAACCCUGAUCCAGCCAUGCCGCGUGAGUGAAGAAGGCCUUCGGGUUGUAAAGCUCUUUCGGCCGGGAAGAAAUCGCACGGGUUAAUACCCUGUGUGGAUGACGGUACCGGAAUAAGAAGCACCGGCUAACUACGU
RNAcentral lists this ribosomal RNA (482 nucleotides) under uncultured bacterium. RNAcentral's name for it is "bacterial SSU rRNA". It matches the Rfam family "Bacterial small subunit ribosomal RNA", at positions 30 to 506 of the family's 1533-position model. The record is from RNAcentral.